Molecule: non-coding RNA, 148 nt
Filed under: Pan troglodytes (chimpanzee)
Lineage: Eukaryota; Metazoa; Chordata; Mammalia; Primates; Hominidae
Source: Rfam by way of RNAcentral
GCCGGGUGUGGUGGCGGACACCUGUAAUCCCAGCUACUUGGGAGGCUGAGGCAGGAGAAUCGCUUGAACCUGGGAGGCGGAGGUUGCAGUGAGCCAAGAUCGUGCCAUUGCACCCCAGCCUAGGCGACAGAGCAAGACUCUGUCUCAA